UCCCUGGUAGUCCAGUGGUUAAGACGCUGCACUUCUACUGCACCACUGCAGUGGGAAUGGGUUUGAUCCCUGGUCAGGGAA
Molecule: transfer RNA, 81 nt
Filed under: Ovis aries (sheep)
Lineage: Eukaryota; Metazoa; Chordata; Mammalia; Artiodactyla; Bovidae
Rfam family: tRNA
About the family: Transfer RNA (tRNA) molecules are approximately 80 nucleotides in length. Their secondary structure includes four short double-helical elements and three loops (D, anti-codon, and T loops).
Source: Rfam by way of RNAcentral